AAAUUGAAGAGUUUGAUCAUGGCUCAGAUUGAACGCUGGCGGCAGGCCUAACACAUGCAAGUCGAACGGUAACAGGAAACAGCUUGCUGUUUCGCUGACGAGUGGCGGACGGGUGAGUAAUGUCUGGGAAACUGCCUGAUGGAGGGGGAUAACUACUGGAAACGGUAGCUAAUACCGCAUAACGUCGCAAGACCAAAGAGGGGGACCUUCGGGCCUCUUGCCAUCGGAUGUGCCCAGAUGGGAUUAGCUAGUAGGUGGGGUAACGGCUCACCUAGGCGACGAUCCCUAGCUGGUCUGAGAGGAUGACCAGCCACACUGGAACUGAGACACGGUCCAGACUCCUACGGGAGGCAGCAGUGGGGAAUAUUGCACAAUGGGCGCAAGCCUGAUGCAGCCAUGCCGCGUGUAUGAAGAAGGCCUUCGGGUUGUAAAGUACUUUCAGCGGGGAGGAAGGGAGUAAAGUUAAUACCUUUACUCAUUGACGUUACCCGCAGAAGAAGCACCGGCUAACUCCGUGCCAGCAGCCGCGGUAAUACGGAGGGUGCAAGCGUUAAUCGGAAUUACUGGGCGUAAAGCGCACGCAGGCGGUUUGUUAAGUCAG
This 601-nucleotide ribosomal RNA is filed under the name Escherichia coli. Its description in RNAcentral is "bacterial SSU rRNA". It matches the Rfam family "Bacterial small subunit ribosomal RNA", at positions 1 to 591 of the family's 1533-position model. The record is from RNAcentral. Lineage: Bacteria; Pseudomonadati; Pseudomonadota; Gammaproteobacteria; Enterobacterales; Enterobacteriaceae.